Molecule: small nuclear RNA, 20 nt
Filed under: Arabidopsis thaliana (thale cress)
Lineage: Eukaryota; Viridiplantae; Streptophyta; Magnoliopsida; Brassicales; Brassicaceae
Description: snRNA_04503
Source: RNAcentral
AACAAGUACCGCGAGGUAAA